Molecule: regulatory RNA element, 130 nt
Rfam family: Ribosomal protein L20 leader
About the family: This family is a putative r-protein leader autoregulatory structure found in B. subtilis and other low-GC Gram-positive bacteria. It is located in the 5' untranslated regions of mRNAs encoding initiation factor 3 followed by ribosomal proteins L35 and L20 (infC-rpmI-rplT).
Source: Rfam
CGGACUAAGCAGAAAAUUGUUUUCUCACCUUACAACAAAUGUGUUAGUAAGGUCAUACUAAGCCCUAAUAAAAAGGUAUUUUGUAUGUUUAAGAGCGGAUAGAUUUUUCUGUCCGCUUUUUUAUUAGUCC